Molecule: RNA transcript, 1887 nt
Organism: Octodon degus (degu)
Lineage: Eukaryota; Metazoa; Chordata; Mammalia; Rodentia; Octodontidae
Gene name: cyclin-I pseudogene
Exons: 2
Source: RefSeq, a predicted model, not a curated record
CCAUCCCAGAAAGAUGAAGUAAUUCAGUGGCUAGCCAAACUCAAGUACCAGUUCAACCUAUACCCAGAAACAUUUGCUUGGGCUAGCAGUCUUUUGGACAGGUUUUUAGCUACUGUAAAGGCCCACCCAAAAUACUUGAGUUGUAUUGCAAUUAGUUGCUUUUUCCUGGCUGCCAAGACUGUUGAAGAGGAUGAGAAAAUUCCAGUACUGAAGGUAUUGGCAAGAGACAGUUUCUGUGGAUGUUCCUCUUCUGAGAUUUUGAGAAUGGAGAGAAUUAUUCUGGAUAAAUUGAAUUGGGAUCUUCACACAGCCACACCAUUGGAUUUUCUUCACAUUUUCCAUGCCAUUGCAGUGUCAACUAGGCCUCAGUUACUUUUCAGUUUGCCCACAUUGAGCCCAUCUCAGCAUUUGGCCAUCCUCACCAAACAGCUGCUUCACUGUAUGGCCUGUAGCCAACUUCUGCAGUUUAAAGGAUCCAUGCUUGCCCUGGCCAUGGUUAGCUUGGAAAUGGAGAAACUCAUUCCUGACUGGCUUCCUCUUACAAUUGAACUGCUUCAGAAAGCACAGAUGGAGAGCUCCCAGUUGAUCCACUGUCGAGAGCGGGUGGCACAUCACCUUUCUACUCCGCAGUCUUCCCUGCUUCUAAAUUCCGUGUAUGUCUACUGUUCCCUCAAGCACACCCUGGUAACCUGUGACAAAGGAGCAUUCAGAUUACAUCCCUCCUCUGUCUCAGGCCCAGAUUUCUCCAAGGAGAACAGCAAGCCAGAAGUGCCAGUGAGAGGUACAGCAGCCUUCUACCAUUCUCUCCCAGCUGCUGGUGGGUGCAAGCACCCCUCUGCUAAACGCAAAGUGGAGGAAAUGGAAGUAGAUGACUUCUAUGAUGGGAUCAAACGACUCUAUAAUGAAGACAGUGCUGCAGAAAGUGUAGGUCCUGUGUUUGGCACAGAUUUAUCAAGGCAACCCGAGCUGGUGGAGGACACGCAGAGGGUGGACUCACUCUCCUCCUACUGGCCCCACAGACCGGGGCUGGUGGAGGACACCCAGAGCGUGGACUCACUCUCCUCCUACUGGCUCCACAGACCCGGGGCAAUGGAGGACACGCAGAGCGUGGACUCACUGUGCUACUGGCGCCAGGAAAGCCGGGCAAUGGAGAACUCGAAAAGCGCGGACUCACUCUGCUCCUACAGGAGCCGCGGACCUGGAGCAACGGAGGAGACACAGACCGCGGACUCGCUCUCGUCCUACAAGCGCCCUCCACUCGGGUCAGUGGAGAAUGCACAGAGUGCGGACUCACUUUUCUACUGUGGCCGUGGACCGGGGGCAGUGGAGUGGGCGCAGAGCGCGGACUCGCUGGCCUCUUACAGGCGCCGCGAACCUGGGGCAGUGGAGAACGCGCCAAGCGCGGACUCGCUCUCCUGCUGCAAGCGCCCUCCCCCUGGGGCAGGGGAGAAUGCGCAGAGCGCGGGCUCACUCCUCUAUUGUGGCCGCGGACCCGGGGCAAUGGAGGGGACCCAGAGCGCGGACUCGCUCUUAUCCUCCAAGAGCACUGGACCUGGGGCAGUGGAGAAUGCGCAGAGCGGGGACACACUCUCCUACUGGCAGGGCCGACCUGGGGCAAUGGACGAAGCGCAGAGCGCGGACUCGCUCUCCUACUGCUCCUACUGGCGUCGCGGACCCGGGGCGACAGAGGUUACGCAGACCGCGGACAUGCGCGGACCCGGGGCAAUGGAGGACAUGCAGAGCAUAGACUCGCUCUCCUCCUACUGGCGCGGGCGCCCAGGGGCAAUGGAGGGGGCGCAGAGCGCAGACUCCCUCUCCUACUGGCGCCGCCCAGCUGUGGAGCAUAGGCUGAGCACGGACUCACUGACCUCCUACUGUCCCCGCUGA